AUUGAACGCUGGCGGCAGGCCUAACACAUGCAAGUCGGACGGUAGCACAGAGAGCUUGCUCUUGGGUGACGAGUGGCGGACGGGUGAGUAAUGUCUGGGGAUCUGCCCGAUAGAGGGGGAUAACCACUGGAAACGGUGGCUAAUACCGCAUAACGUCGCAAGACCAAAGAGGGGGGACCUUCGGGCCUCCCACUAUCGGAUGAACCCAGAUGGGAUUAGCUAGUAGGCGGGGUAAUGGCCCACCUAGGCGACGAUCCCUAGCUGGCCUGAGAGGAUGACCAGCCACACUGGAACUGAGACACGGUCCAGACUCCUACGGGAGGCAGCAGUGGGGAAUAUUGCACAAUGGACGCAAGCCUGAUGCAGCCAUGCCGCGUGUAUGAAGAAGGCCUUCGGGUUGUAAAGUACUUUCAGCGGGGAGGAAGGCGACGCGGUUAAUAACCGCGUCGAUUGACGUUACCCGCAGAAGAAGCACCGGCUAACUCCGUGCCAGCCGCCGCAGUAA
Molecule: ribosomal RNA, 505 nt
Filed under: uncultured bacterium
Lineage: Bacteria
Description: partial 16S ribosomal RNA
Rfam family: Bacterial small subunit ribosomal RNA
Source: RNAcentral